RNAcentral lists this small RNA (21 nucleotides) under Arabidopsis thaliana (thale cress). Its description in RNAcentral is "Ath_wt_10586". The record is from RNAcentral. Lineage: Eukaryota; Viridiplantae; Streptophyta; Magnoliopsida; Brassicales; Brassicaceae.
GACCUCCCGGGAAGUCCUCGU